Homo sapiens (human) is the source of this 2177-nucleotide long non-coding RNA. RefSeq lists it as uncharacterized. Lineage: Eukaryota; Metazoa; Chordata; Mammalia; Primates; Hominidae. The transcript has 2 exons. The record is from RefSeq and is a predicted model, not a curated record.
GUGGCCGCAGUGACAGCCACCUGCAUUAAUUAUGAGAGAAUGCAUCUUUUCUGAAAUCUUCAAAUCCCAAACCAGAGACAGAGGCUAGAGUACAAUAAUAUUUCAUUCUAGCUGGGACAGUCGGCCUCAACCACAGCUCCAGGAAGGAAAUAGUGAAACCAAUGCCGCCAUUCAGUUGAAAGCGAGGAGAAAAUACUAGUGCGUGGAAGACAAUUCACCGUGCGGGCUCUGUCUGUGUCUGAGGCAGUCCCUGGAGCUGAGGCAAAGCAACCAGAGGGAGAACCCACAGGAAAGAGCAGGAAGUGAUUCCUCUUCUGUCCUACACAAGCCCUCACUGCAUUAUGGACUCUGUUUCCAGGGUGACUUCUGCUCUGGGAUUGGACUUCAUGUUCAGGGAGAGAUAUUUUUUCCUUCAUGUGAAGAAGCAGAGACCCACUUAAGGACUGCAUGGGCCCUAAGUCAUUUCAGAGAGUUGAUGACUUGAUAGGGUCAUUGAGGAAAAAAAAAGAAAAAUGCUGCCCAGGAUGAAGUAUGAGACUAGUGACAAGACAACGUGAUACUUUUCUCCACUGUUAAGCCAUGUUUGAUAUUUUCCUUUUAGGAGAAAGAAAGAAGCAUGUGGCUCCUGAGUUAAGGAGUCCUUCAUGCCCUUAUGCUGGAGCUCCUGCCUUCUUGAGCUUUCAGAUGCAAAUGUCUUCUCUAAGGCUGACUCCUAAGCAGCUUCAGCAGAAGAGCAGAUGGGCCAUUACUACCUCCUGAACAUGGUGGCAGCUGGCACCAGGGAACUCCAUAGUCAGAACACUUUUUGUCUGUAUUCCUGCAAGCUCUAGGUCUGACACAGAUGUCAUAAGACAAGUAAGACCAUCACAUUCCUGGUGCCAAUGGAGAGACAGGCACAUAGUAGGUGCUCACAGCUUUUUAAUACCUUCCUGUUGCUUAUAGCAUAGUAAGAGCACUGACAGCAACAGCCACCAGCAUUUGCUGAGUACAGUUAUGGGCUGGCACAGUUCUGUAUGCAUUGUACGUAUUAUUCAUUUAAUGUUCUCGGCAUCUUUGUGAGGAAGACCCCUAGCCACAUGUGACAGAUAAGGAAAUCGAGGCACAGAAAGGUUAAAUACUUUGUGUUAGGCCACACAGCUACUAAGUGGUGGUGCCAGCAUUUGAAAAUGGGUGAAGUCCAAGCAUCUGGUUGUGAGGUGCAAAGUCUUUUUCAGCAGCCUCUGCUUCCUCCCUGGCCUCCAUUCUUGACAUGCCCUAUCGUGUGUUCCAGUAACAGCUCUGCACCUCUCUCCAUCUCCCUCCACUGUCUUUUUCACCUCACCAUCCUCCCUCAGCUUCACUGCACCCUUCUCCUGCCUAAUACCUACUUCUCUUUCCAGAUUCAUUUGACCUGCCACCUCCUCUUGGAAGACCUCCCUGAUGUGCAUGCCCUAAGUCCCCAAGGCUGAAUUAGGUGCCCCUCUUUUGUGCUUCCAUGGCAACAUUUGUAUAACCCAAUCAUUGCACACAUUGCAUGUGUUAUUCCAGGGCAUUUAUUUUCUCCCACACAUGACUAUGGUUUCCUAAGGACCACAAUGAUGUCUUAUCCAUCACACUGUCACCAGUAUGUGGUAGUUAGUUUGGCACUUGGUCAUUGUUUGUUGACUUGGGAACUUUUUCUAUAAGGAACCAGAGAAUAUUUUAGACUUUGCAGACCACAUGCAAACUCUUCUUCUCCUUCUCCUCCUCCUACUCUUCCAACCCUUUAAAAAUGUUUUUUUUUUUUAAAAAAAAAAAAAGCAACAACAACAGCAACAACAAAAACCAGUCUUAGCUUGAGAGUCAUAUAAAACCAGCUCUGGAUCAAAUUCUGCUUGCAGUUAGUAGUUUGCUGACUCUGCUGUCAUUGGGUAAGAUGUUUCUAAACAAAACAAUUCCUAGUCAAACUAACUCAGUGAUUCUCAAACUGAGGGGUAUGGAGAUGGGUGUAUGUUUUUUGUCAUCACAAUGGAUGGGGUGGAGGCUAGCAAUGCUUACUGCCCAGGAACCAAGGAUGCUGUGCCCCAAGGAAGCACAAGUAGCAGUGUGCAGCGGAGUCCCCCAAAACUGCCACAGGAACUCACUGAAGAGAAUGGGCUGGCUGUUUGCUGGUUUUCUUGUGCUACUUUCUGGUAACAAUAAACUGCUUUGGGAACUCA